AGCUGAUCCAGUUCAAAGCAGACAUCAAUGCUGUGAACGAGCACGGGAACACGCCGCUGCACUACGCCUGCUUCUGGGGACACGACCAGGUGGCCGAGGACCUGGUGGGCAACGGGGCCUUGGUCAGCAUUGCUAACAAAUACGGUGAGACGCCCAUUGACAAAGCCAAGACACCCCUGCGAGAGGUCCUGAAAGAGCGUGCGGAGAAGCUGGGCCAGAGCCUCACCAAGAUCCCCUACAAGGACACCUUCUGGAAGGGCACGACCCGCACGCGUCCCCGAAACGGGACUCUCAACAAACUUGCUGGAAUAGACUUCAAACAGCUGAGCUUGAGCCAAAAACUCAACGAGAACCAGUCAGGAGAGCUGUGGAAAGGGCGCUGGCAAGGCAACGACAUUGUCA
This is a long non-coding RNA of Antrostomus carolinensis (chuck-will's-widow), 402 nucleotides long. RefSeq lists it as uncharacterized. The transcript is spliced from 5 exons. Lineage: Eukaryota; Metazoa; Chordata; Aves; Caprimulgiformes; Caprimulgidae. The record is from RefSeq and is a predicted model, not a curated record.